Deltaproteobacteria bacterium RBG_16_48_10 is the source of this 99-nucleotide non-coding RNA. NCBI's taxonomy places the organism in Bacteria, Deltaproteobacteria. The record is from Rfam.
AGUCGGGUCCUGCGCAACAAAUGGUUACAAACCCCGUCAGGUCCGGAAGGAAGCAGCGGUAGUAGCCCACUUUGUGUGCCGCAGGGGUGCCUGGCUAUC